Molecule: ribosomal RNA, 380 nt
Filed under: uncultured eukaryote
Lineage: Eukaryota
Description: partial 18S ribosomal RNA
Rfam family: Eukaryotic small subunit ribosomal RNA
Source: RNAcentral
CAAUAGCGUAUAUUAAAGUUGUUGCGGUUAAAAAGCUCGUAGUUGGAUUUCUGCUGAGGACGAUCGGUCCGCCCUCUGGGUGAGUAUCUGGCUCGGCCUUGGCAUCUUCUUGGAGAACGUUACUGCACUUGACUGUGUGGUGCGGUAUCCAGGACUUUUACUUUGAGGAAAUUAGAGUGUUUCAAGCAGGCGCACGCCUUGAAUACAUUAGCAUGGAAUAAUAAGAUAGGACCUUGGUUCUAUUUUGUUGGUUUCUAGAGCUGAGGUAAUGAUUAAUAGGGAUAGUUGGGGGCAUUCGUAUUUAACUGUCAGAGGUGAAAUUCUUGGAUUUGUUAAAGACGGACUACUGUGAAAGCAUUUGCCAAGGAUGUUUUCAUUGA